ACAGAGUCGGACACAACUGAAGGGACUUAGCAACAGCAGCAGCAGCAGCCAAAGCUGGACCCAGCACUGCCUUGGCGCCACUAACCCAUCCGGUCCCCUUGGGCAGGAGAAGUGCCAAGUUUCCACGGCUAUCGUCAAGCCCCGCCCGCAACGCGGGAGGGAGGAGUAGUGGGAGGACACCAGUUCAUCCGGACUGAGGACUCCGAACUGCACGCUCUUGAUGGUGCGCAGCGGGCAUGCGCUGCCCCCGGAGCGGGGGCCACCCCCCAUGCAUGGCGGACGCAGGCGCGCUGCGCAGGCGCAAACCUCAGUACAAAAAGCCUGCGCCGCCUCCACUUAAGCGCUCAGACCUCGUCCGGGCGGCGGCUGGGUAGUAUCUACCCGAUUUGGGAAGAAAAAGCCGGAGGAGGGAAAGGUCGGGGAGGGAAGGAGGCGGGGGAACGUUAAGGGGUGAAAGGAGCUCUCCUCCGACCUUCCGGAGAUUUUUCCGCCUCCCAAAAAGACAAAAAUGAGGAAGGGAAAGGAAAAGGUUUCGGGGGAAGAAGAAGAAAAAGGGAAACCGAGGGUGAAGGGCGGAGAGUGGAAGACCCUCGCGCCCAGGCACAGAAACGCUCUUACAUAAGGCUCUGGACAAAUGAGAAAGAGACAGCCAGAGCGCCCCACCACUGUAGGACUCCUGCCUGGACCCUGGGGCGCAGCUUCCCAUGUUCCUGGGCCCUAGUGUCCCACUUCCUGACCCUGAGCCCCCACAUCGCGCCUGCUUCCCUGCCCACCCCCCCCCCGCUCCCUGCGCCAAGUCCCAGCCUAAGCUGGUGCCAGCACCUGCUGCAGGUGCCCAGGCUGCCAAGGGAAGGGCCGCUGCUCCUCCCAGCCCAGCGAUUCCCCACAGGAGGAAGCCCGCCUCCUAGGUAAAUCAGGCCACUUCUGCUGGACCUUGGGCAGAGAAUUGAUUUUUGUUUUCCCCUGGCAGUUUGCCUUUUGAUUCUCUUCUCCUGCCUGGGGCUUCAAGGCACGUAGGUCUCCGUGCCCAAGCCUGGAUGUCGACCUGGAAUUCAGGUGACUGUCGCCCCCACACCCCCACCUCCCAGACCGCCCUUCCAUUGGCCCUCAGCUACCCUGAGGAUACCCCCUAAGCCCCAAUAAAGAGAGCAACCAUGA
This is a long non-coding RNA of Bubalus bubalis (water buffalo), 1158 nucleotides long. RefSeq lists it as uncharacterized. The record is from RefSeq and is a predicted model, not a curated record. Lineage: Eukaryota; Metazoa; Chordata; Mammalia; Artiodactyla; Bovidae. The transcript is spliced from 2 exons.